Platichthys flesus (European flounder) is the source of this 1016-nucleotide long non-coding RNA. RefSeq lists it as uncharacterized. The transcript has 5 exons. The record is from RefSeq and is a predicted model, not a curated record. NCBI's taxonomy places the organism in Eukaryota, Metazoa, Chordata, Actinopteri, Pleuronectiformes, Pleuronectidae.
GCUCUGCAUCACAGGUAACGCAGUGAACUUUUUGUUUCACAGAAACAGAAAGACGAUGAGAAGACCACACACUGGAGCUGCUCUACCCAGCCAACAGGGAUGGAUGAUAUGUAUCUUAUUUCUUAUGGUCCGAUGUGAAUCAACGUGGUACAAUGACAAAUUCUCGUCCUGUUGAAGAAUCUUAACCAGGAUUUGCCGAUCUCGAUCGAGUGUGUGGACAAUGCAGCUGGAUGUCCUGGCGUAGUCAUUUAUGACGAUCAAACAUUUCCCGUUUCUUCGGAUCAGGAUGCUGCCAGUGGGACGGCCAGUGGUGAUGGACAAGGCCCUGGCAGUUCUGUGAUAGUUUUCCAAUUAGACUGUUACGCAGCUGAGGACUACACCGUGACGUUGGAGGAUCCUCCUGAGAUCGUCACUGAUUCAGACGCCAGUCUUGAGGACGAGGUCGAUGAGGACGAAUAACUACGGGAAAAACAGACAUCACCAUUAAUGUUGUUUAUUUGAAUGGACACUAUAGCAUUUAAGUAAUUAUUUAAUCCGUUAACUUAUCAACAUAUAUAAAUAUUUGAUGUUUAAUACGGAAGAUAUAACAGGUCUAAAAAUGAACCUGUGAAACUAAUACUAAUACAUACUAAAGGAAAUGUAACUGUGACCAGGGGUGAAGUUGAACAUUCAAGUUUGCGUAGGAGUGAAAUGACCCGGAUGUAUUUAAAAGGAUGCAAGGCCAUACUUACACCUGAGCAGACCCACGUAAAUAUAAAGAAAACAGGACAGCUGUUUUAUUCCAAUGACACAAUCCAGAACUGAUAUAAAUCCUCACAUGACCGUCUAAGCUCCGGAUGUCUUCUUUGACCAGUCAGGACUCUCAGUGAAAAGCAAACACGUUGAACUUGAAAUGUCGAACAAGAAAUCCACACUCGAUUAUAUCGAAGUGUCAGAGGCACCAGAAAACUCUAUAUCCCUACAUCAUGUCUGAUAUGCUUUUGUUCUCUUGCUCAUUAAAAAAAAACAUUUAAAUA